GUCUCUGGCCAUACCACCCUGAAUGUGCCCGAUCCCUUCUGAUCUCAGAAGCUAAGCAGGAUGAAGCGAAGAGAGUUGAGCCAAGAGGCC
Molecule: ribosomal RNA, 90 nt
Filed under: Nannospalax galili (Upper Galilee mountains blind mole rat)
Lineage: Eukaryota; Metazoa; Chordata; Mammalia; Rodentia; Spalacidae
Source: RNAcentral